This 473-nucleotide ribosomal RNA is filed under the name uncultured bacterium. RNAcentral describes it as "bacterial SSU rRNA". It matches the Rfam family "Bacterial small subunit ribosomal RNA", at positions 328 to 793 of the family's 1533-position model. The record is from RNAcentral.
GACGACGACUCCUACGGGAGGCAGCAGUGGGGAAUAUUGCACAAUGGGCGCAAGCCUGAUGCAGCCAUGCCGCGUGUAUGAAGAAGGCCUUCGGGUUGUAAAGUACUUUCAGCAGUGAGGAAGGUGGGUAUGUUAAUAGCAUAUUCAUUUGACGUUAGCUGCAGAAGAAGCACCGGCUAACUCCGUGCCAGCAGCCGCGGUAAUACGGAGGGUGCGAGCGUUAAUCGGAAUUACUGGGCGUAAAGCGCAUGCAGGUGGUUUGUUAAGUCAGAUGUGAAAGCCCGGGGCUCAACCUCGGAAUUGCAUUUGAAACUGGCAAACUAGAGUACUGUAGAGGGGGUAGAAUUUCAGGUGUAGCGGUGAAAAUGCGUAGAGAUCUGAAGGAAUACCGGUGGCGAAGGCGGCCCCCUGGACAGAUACUGACACUCAGAUGCGAAAGCGUGGGGAGCAAACAGGAUUAGAUACCCUGGUAG